RNAcentral lists this transfer RNA (72 nucleotides) under Phrynosoma platyrhinos (Desert horned lizard). RNAcentral describes it as "tRNA-OTHER". Lineage: Eukaryota; Metazoa; Chordata; Lepidosauria; Squamata; Phrynosomatidae. The record is from RNAcentral.
GUCAGUGUGUUAUAGUGGUUUGAGCAUUGGACUGUAACUCUGGAGAUCAGGGUUUAAUUCCCUGCUUGGCCA